UGGGGAAUUUUGGACAAUGGGCGCAAGCCUGAUCCAGCCAUGCCGCGUGCGGGAAGAAGGCCUUCGGGUUGUAAACCGCUUUUGUCAGGGAAGAAACGGUCUGUCUUAAUACUGCGGACUAAUGACGGUACCUGAAGAAUAAGCACCGGCUAACUACGUGCCAGCAGCCGCGGUAAUACGUAGGGUGCAAGCGUUAAUCGGAAUUACUGGGCGUAAAGCGUGCGCAGGCGGCUUUGCAAGACAGAUGUGAAAUCCCCGGGCUCAACCUGGGAACUGCAUUUGUGACUGCAAGGCUGGAGUGCGGCAGAGGGGGAUGGAAUUCCGCGUGUAGCAGUGAAAUGCGUAGAUAUGCGGAGGAACACCGAUGGCGAAGGCAAUCCCCUGGGCCUGCACUGACGCUCAUGCACGAAAGCGUGGGGAGCAAACAGGAUUAGAUACCCAAGUAGUCCCUGAGCGGGCUGGCAAGGCGCAU
Molecule: ribosomal RNA, 472 nt
Filed under: uncultured bacterium
Lineage: Bacteria
Description: bacterial SSU rRNA
Rfam family: Bacterial small subunit ribosomal RNA
Source: RNAcentral